AUGUGUUUUUAAUGAUUACCAUUCAAAACCUGUUACUGAAGGAGCUCUUAUCCUGUUGUAAGGGCCCGCUUUAGCUUAUGUCUUGUUGGUAUAUUAAUAUACUUGUUGCGAUUUAAUCUCCUUUUGGGUCCUUUCAGUUUUGCACAUGGAAGAAGAAGGUCGUUUGCAUAUAGAUGCGAGGGUUGAUUUUGCUUCUUAUCGAAGGAAUCAUCGAUUGUUUAUACUUGCUGAUGUUUAAUAUAUGGACUUAAUUAUUCUAUGCGCAUUUAGAUAUUGUGAGAGAAUACUUAAAUAGUAUUUUGAGAUUUUUGUUGAGUGAUUUAAAUCUGUAAGUUAUGCAGUUUAUAUAGCAGGGAGGUAGGCUGGUAUUAUUUGCUUAUUUUUAAUAUAGUUGUAUUUAUUGUACGGAUAUAUCUGUGUAAUUACCGAAGGAUUUAAACAUUAAAUUGAUUAAUAGCUUUUCUAUUAUACUUUGCAGUUAUCAUAAUGACUAUUUGUUUUGUGACCUGCUACAAUUUAAUCCUGGAGUGUUGAGGUGUUUAUUUGUGUGUUACUGGAAGGUGUACACUUAAACGAGAGGUAAAAGAGCAGGUCGAUAUCCGAAGACAACGUCAAAAACCCAAGGAGUUCCGCAACACAGUCCAGAUGGUACAGCCACACCGCAACGCUACCCAGCCGUUUCAGCCCCGCAACCGGUGAAUCUGAACCCGCAACAACUUGUGGUUGUGGUGAGCCUUGUUGCAGAACACCAUUGUUCCGUGUUUGCGCGGCGAAGGGGCAUUUUUGCUGAUGAUUCGCUGCACUGUCAGACAGUGUUGAAUAAAAUGGUGAGUUGGCUCCGAUGUAGAUCAUUUAUAACGACUUGGGAGACCACGUUUCAGCAAAUGUUUAAAUUACGAUGGUUAAUGGCGAAUUCUUAGAGUAAACAGUAUUGUUACGCUCAGAUCACAUUAAUAACAGUCAAGGUCAGAGUUUUCUUGUUACUGAAGCAGACUGAUAGCUAAAAUUUAAGUCAAAGGCUCCGGCCAAAAGAUAGAUUCAUUGCCGGUCCUUAAUGUACAUGAGUAUCUAUAUAUACCGUGCGCAAGAAAAUGUUAUGACUAGUUUUCAAGGUAUUUGUACCAAAUUUGCUUGUGUAUACGAACAUAGCUGUACGCGUUGUCAUGGGAAGCACUCUAGGAAGUAUUUAUUUAUUUUUCAGAAUCACUAGUAGCUACCAAUCAAUAUCGUUCUAGGUACUCGUCACUUGGACCUCGUGGAAUUUUCAGAUAGCCCAAACCGGCAUCUCAAAGAGGGUCACUUAAACCUCCAUUCCCUCACCAAAACCCUUAUUGACUUAGCAGUAUUACAAGUCUAUCUUUCUUUAUAUCCAAAUAAAUAAGUGGCAGCUGAAUUUUUAGAGGGUUCUAACAAAGGGUUUCGAUUACAAAACCAGCGCCCUAGAGUCCAAACUUCAGUCAAACUUUAAUUUCCGUUAGGCAAAACUCUGCUGUAGCUAAUGAGAAAGUUACUAGUAUGUAGGAAGAGCAGUUAAGCAGAAUUGCGGUUCCUUUUAAAGAAAUGCCUGUUCCAAAUUUCAGGCAAUCCGCGAUCAGUCUUGUGGCCAAAAAGAUGGUAGCUCGAGGAUUAUACACCAUCUUUCCUUCCCGAAGGGAACCCCGCAGGGUUCAAGUUUGAAUGAUUUUAUUGAUACGUCUUCUUCCUCAGUUCAGUACACUUCUUUAGACAGAGUGACGGAGCUAUUGUUUCAUUAGUGCAAUAUUGCGAAAUGGCUAAAGUUGGCAUCAAAUCUGCCUUUCGCCUUUUGAGGUUCAUAAUUAUGAUUUUGAAAUUAUUAGCCUUCAAAUUAGGAGGGGAUUAUUUUACUGACAAGACGUUACCUAUGAGUGUGCAAUCUUUUGCUGCCAUUGGGAAAAGUUUGCUAAUUUAUUACAAUAGCUGGUCCGGUACAAGAGGAAAUCCGAAAGGCUGUUUUAUUACUUGGAUAAUUAUGUUUGUUUGGCUCGCUCUAAUUCAGGGAAUGUGUGACCAAUUUGUUCUGUUUUAUAGAUAAAUGCCUUAACAUA
This is a long non-coding RNA of Mercenaria mercenaria, 2066 nucleotides long. RefSeq lists it as uncharacterized. The record is from RefSeq and is a predicted model, not a curated record. NCBI's taxonomy places the organism in Eukaryota, Metazoa, Mollusca, Bivalvia, Venerida, Veneridae. The transcript is spliced from 2 exons.